Molecule: ribosomal RNA, 396 nt
Filed under: uncultured bacterium
Lineage: Bacteria
Description: partial 16S ribosomal RNA
Rfam family: Bacterial small subunit ribosomal RNA
Source: RNAcentral
AUACGUAGGGGGCGAGCGUUGUCCGGAAUGAUUGGGCGUAAAGGGCGCGUAGGCGGCGCGGUAAGUCUGGAGUGAAAGUCCUGCUUUCAAGGUGGGAAUUGCUUUGGAUACUGCCGCGCUUGAGUGCAGGAGAGGUUAUCGGAAUUCCCGGUGUAGCGGUGAAAUGCGUAGAGAUCGGGAGGAACACCAGUGGCGAAGGCGGGUAACUGGACUGCAACUGACGCUGAGGCGCGAAAGUGUGGGGAGCAAACAGGAUUAGAUACCCUGGUAGUCCACACUGUAAACGAUGAAUGCUAGGAGUAAGAGGUAUCGACCCCUGUUGUGCCGCAGUCAACACAAUAAGCAUUCCGCCUGGGGAGUACGGACGCAAGGUUGAAACUCAAAUGAAUUGACGGG